CGCACCACCGUCGUCGGUGGAGGAGGCCUUCCUCCCUUAUUUUUCGUACCGAGCAUCUUUUUCUCCUCUCACUUCGCCAGAAAUUUCCCUCCCCCUUCCUUUCCUCUCCACACUUUCAUUUUUCCAUUUCUCAAAGGUUUAGAGAGAGAAAGAGAUAGUAAUCUAGUGAGAAAAGAAGAGAAAGAAAGGAGAAUGGUGAAGGAGGAAACAUUAAGGUUUUAGAAAGGAAUCUAGUAU
This 237-nucleotide long non-coding RNA is filed under the name Carica papaya (papaya). RNAcentral's name for it is "long non-coding RNA (CPAP_LNC002079)". Lineage: Eukaryota; Viridiplantae; Streptophyta; Magnoliopsida; Brassicales; Caricaceae. The record is from RNAcentral.